This 92-nucleotide transfer RNA is filed under the name Candidatus Omnitrophota bacterium. RNAcentral's name for it is "tRNA-Ser". It matches the Rfam family "tRNA". Rfam says of the family: Transfer RNA (tRNA) molecules are approximately 80 nucleotides in length. Their secondary structure includes four short double-helical elements and three loops (D, anti-codon, and T loops). Lineage: Bacteria; Pseudomonadati; Candidatus Omnitrophota. RNAcentral also lists the same sequence under 1 other name. The record is from RNAcentral.
GGAGAGGUGGCCGAGUCUGGUUUAAGGCGCCGGUCUCGAAAAUCGGUCUCUGAGUUAGCCUCGGAGCGGGAGUUCAAAUCUCCCCCUCUCCG